RNAcentral lists this unclassified non-coding RNA (329 nucleotides) under soil metagenome. RNAcentral describes it as "partial contains 5.8S ribosomal RNA, internal transcribed spacer 2, and large subunit ribosomal RNA". The stretch from base 1 to 120 matches the Rfam family "5.8S ribosomal RNA", at positions 35 to 154 of the family's 154-position model. The record is from RNAcentral.
GAUGAAGAACGUAGCGAAAUGCGAUAAGUAAUGUGAAUUGCAGAAUUCAGUGAAUCAUCGAAUCUUUGAACGCACAUUGCGCCCCUUGGUAUUCCGAGGGGCAUGCCUGUUCGAGCGUCAUUAUAACCCCUCUAGCUCAGCUUGGUGUUGGGGCCUGCUGCACUGGCAGCCCUUAAAAUCAGUGGCGGCGCCAUCUGGCUCUAAGCGUAGUAAUUCUUCUCGCUAUGGAGUCCUGGUGGAUGCUUGCCAUCAACCCCCAAUUUUUCUAUGGUUGACCUCGGAUCAGGUAGGGAUACCCGCUGAACUUAAGCAUAUCAAUAAGCGGAGGA